GUGUCAGCAGCCGCGGUAAUACGGAGGGGGCCAGCGUUGUUCGGAAUUAUUGGGCGUAAAGGGCGCGUAGGCGGCAGGAUAAGUCUGACGUGAAAUCCCUCGGCCCAACCGAGGAACUGCGUUUGAAACUGUCCGGCUUGAGUCCGGGAGAGGGUAGUGGAAUUCCCAGUGUAGCGGUGAAAUGCGUAGAUAUUGGGAGGAACACCGGUGGCGAAGGCGGCUACCUGGACCGGUACUGACGCUGAGGUGCGAAAGCCAGGGGAGCAAACAGGAUUAGAAACCCCUGUAGUCC
RNAcentral lists this ribosomal RNA (292 nucleotides) under uncultured bacterium. RNAcentral describes it as "partial 16S ribosomal RNA". It matches the Rfam family "Bacterial small subunit ribosomal RNA", at positions 505 to 796 of the family's 1533-position model. The record is from RNAcentral.